Molecule: ribosomal RNA, 397 nt
Filed under: uncultured bacterium
Lineage: Bacteria
Description: bacterial SSU rRNA
Rfam family: Bacterial small subunit ribosomal RNA
Source: RNAcentral
AUCUUGCGCAAUGGGCGAAAGCCUGACGCAGCCAUGCCGCGUGAAUGAUGAAGGUCUUAGGAUUGUAAAAUUCUUUCAGCGGGGACGAUAAUGACGGUACCCGCAGAAGAAGCUCCGGCUAACUUCGUGCCAGCAGCCGCGGUAAUACGAAGGGGGCUAGCGCUGCUCGGAAUUACUGGGCGUAAAGGGCGCGUAGGCGGACAGUUAGGUCAGAGGUAAAAGCCCGGGGCUCAACCCUGGAACCGCCUUUGAUACUGGCUGUCUUGAGUUCGGGAGAGGUGUGUGGAACUCCGAGUGUAGAGGUGAAAUUCGUAGAUAUUCGGAAGAACACCAGUGGCGAAGGCGACACACUGGCCCGAUACUGACGCUGAGGCGCGAAAGCGUGGGGAGCAAACAG